GGGGAAUUUUGCGCAAUGGGGGAAACCCUGACGCAGCAACGCCGCGUGGAGGAUGAAGUAUUUCGGUACGUAAACUCCUUUCGAUGGGGAAGAUAAUGACGGUACCCAUAGAAGAAGCCCCGGCUAACUUCGUGCCAGCAGCCGCGGUAAUACGAGGGGGGCAAGCGUUGUUCGGAUUUAUUGGGCGUAAAGGGUGCGUAGGCGGUUUGGCAAGUCUUCUGUGAAAUCUAUGGGCUCAACCCAUAGUCUGCAUGAGAAACUACCGGGCUUGAGUGAUGGAGAGGUGAGUGGAAUUUCCGGUGUAGCGGUGAAAUGCGUAGAUAUCGGAAGGAACACCUGUGGCGAAAGCGGCUCACUGGACAUUAACUGACGCUGAUGCACGAAAGCUAGGGGAGCAAA
This 399-nucleotide ribosomal RNA is filed under the name uncultured bacterium. Its description in RNAcentral is "bacterial SSU rRNA". It matches the Rfam family "Bacterial small subunit ribosomal RNA", at positions 356 to 772 of the family's 1533-position model. The record is from RNAcentral.